GACGAAGGUGGCGAGCGUUGUUCGGAAUCACUGGGCAUAAAGAGCACGUAGGCGGCUAAGUCAGUCGGAUGUGAAAUACCUCGGCUCAACCGAGGAACUGCGUCCGAUACUGCUUGGCUUGAGGUCCGGAGGGGAGAGUGGAAUUCCCGGUGGAGCGGUGAAAUGCGUAGAGAUCGGGAAGAACGCCGGCGGCGAAAGCGACUCUCUGGUCGGAAUCUGACGCUGAGGUGCGAAAGCUAGGGGAGCAAACGGG
RNAcentral lists this ribosomal RNA (253 nucleotides) under uncultured bacterium. Its description in RNAcentral is "partial 16S ribosomal RNA". It matches the Rfam family "Bacterial small subunit ribosomal RNA", at positions 524 to 776 of the family's 1533-position model. The record is from RNAcentral.